Cyanistes caeruleus (blue tit) is the source of this 378-nucleotide non-coding RNA. Lineage: Eukaryota; Metazoa; Chordata; Aves; Passeriformes; Paridae. The record is from RefSeq and is a predicted model, not a curated record.
CAUAAUCUACACCAUGCAGGAUUUCCUACACCUGAGUCUACUUCUGGGGCAGGGGUCUCAUUGGCUCCUCUGUAUAUCUCAGCCCUCACUCUAGAGAAGUUGCAGACCAUACAGAGGAAGCUUAACAGCUGAACUACCAGGAAAGUGAGCAGGAAAGUGGUAUCCUUAACACUCAGGGGAAACUGGAUAUUCUCAAAGAGGGACAUAACAGAUUCAAAGGAGAAGAAGGAAAGAAAAGGCUGAAAAGCCUCAUCCCCUGGUCUUCCUCUAACAAACUGGGUGCAAUUACCAAUAAACUCCCAAAAUGUGCUACUAGGACUGGGAGGCAGGGUCGGGCGAAGAAACCAUGAGCCAAACAUACCUGACAGAAACUUCAGU